Mytilus trossulus (common blue mussel) is the source of this 337-nucleotide long non-coding RNA. RefSeq lists it as uncharacterized. Lineage: Eukaryota; Metazoa; Mollusca; Bivalvia; Mytilida; Mytilidae. The record is from RefSeq and is a predicted model, not a curated record. The transcript is spliced from 4 exons.
AUUGUUAAAGGUAAUACUGUGGUUAAUUAAAGCGACUCAUUAAGAAGACAGUAUGCAGAAGCUGAUGUUGAUUGUCUUGAUACUGUUCAUAACUAUAGAUAUUGUCCAUCCUUGUAGUUGUUUUCCGGAUGUGAAACCAGUUUGUUCCAUUAGUGGUAUUACUUUCCAAAAUGAGUGUGCCCUAGAUUGCAAAGAAGGUGCAAUUUUAGCCUGUCGUCGUAAAUGUCCAUGCUAAUCUUGUGGAAGUUAUUACGAAUGAGUAUGAACAUCAAGUGAGAUGGAAAAACAUAUUUAAUAUAUAUGAGAGAAACAAAGAAUAAAACAAAAUUCAACAAUA